This is a long non-coding RNA of Pomacea canaliculata, 485 nucleotides long. RefSeq lists it as uncharacterized. The record is from RefSeq and is a predicted model, not a curated record. The transcript is spliced from 3 exons. Lineage: Eukaryota; Metazoa; Mollusca; Gastropoda; Architaenioglossa; Ampullariidae.
CAUAAGAUAUAAUUGCCUUAUGUGAAAAAGUAUUUUUAUUAAAAUCUAUUCUCUCAAUAAAAAAAAUUGUGUUGUCAUAAGAUAUAAUUGUAUUUUUAUUAAAAUCUAUUCUCCCAAUUUCUUGAAAGUACGUAUAGUUAUGAGGACCUUUUCUCUCUCUCUUAUUUUUUUUUUUUUUGUGUUCUAUAUACCAGGAUGCAUUGAUACAUAGGUCAUACUUCCGGUUUCGUGUUGUCAUUCCUGGAUUCUCGUGCACAAUACACGUAUAAGGAUUGUGAUAAAAUAUAAUUGCCUUAUGUGAAAAGUUUUUUUUGUUCUAUAUACCAGGAUGCAUCGUAUACAUCGGCCAUACUUCCGGUUUCGUGUAGUCAUUCCUGAAUUCUCCUGCACAAUAUAAGGAUUGUUUAUAUUUCUUAUACAGGUACAAUGUUUCUCAAGACCAAAAUAAAAAGCCCUCCCAAGGUCGUUAGAAAGAUGCUGAACCC